UCGUCAGCUCGUGUCGUGAGAUGUUGGGUUAAGUCCCGCAACGAGCGCAACCCUUGCCUUUAGUUGCCAGCAUUAAGUUGGGCACUCUAGAGGGACUGCCAGGGAUAACCUGGAGGAAGGUGGGGAUGACGUCAAAUCAUCAUGCCCCUUAUGCUUAGGGCUACACACGUGCUACAAUGGGUGGUACAGAGGGCAGCCAAGCCGUGAGGCGGAGCUAAUCCCUUAAAGCCAUUCUCAGUUCGGAUUGUAGGCUGAAACUCGCCUACAUGAAGCUGGAGUUACUAGUAAUCGCAGAUCAGAAUGCUGCGGUGAAUGCGUUCCCGGGUCUUGUACACACCGCCCGUCACACCAUGGGAGUUGGGGGCGCCCGAAGCCGGUUAGCUAACCUUUUGGAAGCGGCCGUCGAAGGUGAAACCAAUAACUGGGGUGAAGUCGUAACAAGGUAACCGUA
This 451-nucleotide ribosomal RNA is filed under the name uncultured bacterium. RNAcentral describes it as "bacterial SSU rRNA". It matches the Rfam family "Bacterial small subunit ribosomal RNA", at positions 1052 to 1504 of the family's 1533-position model. The record is from RNAcentral.